RNAcentral lists this microRNA precursor (90 nucleotides) under Canis lupus familiaris (dog). Its description in RNAcentral is "mir-8799 microRNA precursor family". It matches the Rfam family "mir-8799 microRNA precursor family". Lineage: Eukaryota; Metazoa; Chordata; Mammalia; Carnivora; Canidae. The record is from Rfam by way of RNAcentral. RNAcentral also lists the same sequence under 1 other name.
AGGGGAAGGCCGGAUCCUGGGCCGUGUGCCCCGUGCCCUGUGCUCCCGUACCUGUGCUGUUGGAUUCACGCUGCCGGCCGACAGCCCCCU